AUCUUGCUUCUGGAGUCAGCUAACCUAUGGACUGAAACCUUUACAAACUAUGAGCCAAAAUAAACCUUUCUUCCUCGAAGUUGUGGGGACCAGGUAUUUUGCCCAGCAAUGAAAAAUGUGAUCAAGACAAAGAGAGAGUGAGAGAAGCUAGAGUACCUGGAAUGACUGAGACUACCAGAUGGGUGGAGUCAGAGGAUCACCUGGGAGCUACCUCGGCAGGAAAAGCCCCCACUUCAUAACACUCAAUGCUCUCACUCUGUAGUCCACACUGGCCUUUACCCUGUGCUGAUCCUCCUGCCGCAGCCUGCCAAGUGCUGGGCUCACAGGCUUGCACCACCAUCCCCGGGAGCAUUUGUCUCUUUAGAAUGACUUGCUUCACUCUGCAUGUCUUCAGUUUCUCUUUGCAGCAAGUGUCACAACUUCUUUUUGAGGCUGAAUAAUACUCCACAGUAGGUAUAUACCACUUUUUGUUUAUCCAGUUAGCCCCUGAUUGACAUUGCGGCUGCUUGCAUGUUUGCCCUUAUUUGCAAACACUUAUCACACUAGUGAAAUAGAGAGAGGCUUCCUAUACCAAUCCAGAAAUGGUUGUCUCUUGGGAAACAGGGAGAAAUGGCAGGUGGGAGUCUGCCUUCCCCAAUGCCCCUCCUCCAUGCACCCAGACUUCUUUCCAGCCUGCAGCUCUUGUGCUGUGCUAGCCCAGUCUCUAUCCUCAAAAGGCCUGGACUUUUCCUGGGGGCAGGGGAGGAGCCAAUGCAGCUUAGGUGUUGGUUACAUGUUUGUUUGUCUUAAAUAUUUUAUAAUGAAUAUUUUCAAAGAGAAAUUUUCAGAAGGGUGGAACUGAAAUGCUACCCUGUACACAAAAGAGGACAUUCACACAUGCACACAAGGGAGGGAAGAACCUCCCUGAUCUGGAGGAAGCUGAUGGGAUGCCAGCAAGCAAGGAUACAAGGGAGAGAGGCUUAAUUUUCAUUCACUUUUUGACAUGAAAUAUACUUAAUGACCUUUACAAUAGCAUCCAAAGAAAUGAAAUACUGAGGAAUCAUUCUAACGAAAUAAACUGUCUAUACAUUGAAAACUAUAGUACUCUGAAAAAGGAGAUGGAAAAAUUUACAAGAAAAUGGAGAGAUGUCCCUUGUUCUUGGAAAGGACCAGCAUAGUGAAAAUAGCUCUACUCCCAAAUCUGUUACACAGAUUUAAUGCACUCCUGAUCAAAACACCAUUAUUGUAUGUCACAGAACUGAGAGAACAUUCCUAAACUUCAUUCGAAAACAAAAGAGACCUGAAAUAGCAAAAGCAAUUCUGGGCAACAAGAGCAAACCUGGAGAUACAACAAUCCUUGACUUGAAAUUAUACUGCAAAGCAAUUGUGAUAAAAUCAGCAUGGUAUUGGAAAAUAAGCCCAGACCUGAGGAUUAGUGGAAUAGAGUACAAGAUGCGGACAACUACAAACGCACUAAACCACCUUAUCUUCGACAAAAGAACCAAAUGUGUUCACUGAAAGAAAGGUUCACUGCUGGAAAAACUGGUUUUCCAUAUACUGAAGACUAAAAGUAGAUCAAUGUUUAUCAGAAUGCACUAAAGAAAAGUCAAAAUGGAUCUCAAUUCUAAAUAUUAAAACAGAAACACUAAAUCUACUGGAAGAGAAAAUAUGGAGAAAUCUUGAGGACAUAAAUGUAGGCAGAGACACCAUGAACAAAACUCAGACCGGGUGGGAAAUACAACAAAGAACUAACAAGUGAGAUCUCACCUUAUUAAAAAGCUUUUU
Cavia porcellus (domestic guinea pig) is the source of this 1764-nucleotide long non-coding RNA. RefSeq lists it as uncharacterized. The transcript is spliced from 3 exons. The record is from RefSeq and is a predicted model, not a curated record. Lineage: Eukaryota; Metazoa; Chordata; Mammalia; Rodentia; Caviidae.